Molecule: transfer RNA, 81 nt
Filed under: Bacillota bacterium
Lineage: Bacteria; Bacillati; Bacillota
Description: tRNA-Leu
Rfam family: tRNA
About the family: Transfer RNA (tRNA) molecules are approximately 80 nucleotides in length.
Source: RNAcentral
GCGGAGGUGGCGGAACUGGUAGACGCGUACGUUUGAGGGGCGUAUGGUUAUGCCGUGAGGGUUCGAGUCCCUCCCUCCGCA